Molecule: ribosomal RNA, 555 nt
Filed under: Alternaria sp. CXM5
Lineage: Eukaryota; Fungi; Ascomycota; Dothideomycetes; Pleosporales; Pleosporaceae
Description: eukaryotic LSU rRNA
Rfam family: 5.8S ribosomal RNA (bases 192-345)
Source: RNAcentral
CGGGGGGGGACUGCGGAGGGACAUUACACAAAUAUGAAGGCGGGCUGGAACCUCUCGGGGUUACAGCCUUGCUGAAUUAUUCACCCUUGUCUUUUGCGUACUUCUUGUUUCCUUGGUGGGUUCGCCCACCACUAGGACAAACAUAAACCUUUUGUAAUUGCAAUCAGCGUCAGUAACAAAUUAAUAAUUACAACUUUCAACAACGGAUCUCUUGGUUCUGGCAUCGAUGAAGAACGCAGCGAAAUGCGAUAAGUAGUGUGAAUUGCAGAAUUCAGUGAAUCAUCGAAUCUUUGAACGCACAUUGCGCCCUUUGGUAUUCCAAAGGGCAUGCCUGUUCGAGCGUCAUUUGUACCCUCAAGCUUUGCUUGGUGUUGGGCGUCUUGUCUCUAGCUUUGCUGGAGACUCGCCUUAAAGUAAUUGGCAGCCGGCCUACUGGUUUCGGAGCGCAGCACAAGUCGCACUCUCUAUCAGCAAAGGUCUAGCAUCCAUUAAGCCUUUUUUUCAACUUUUGACCUCGGAUCAGGUAGGGAUACCCGCUGAACUUAAGCAUAUAAA